Molecule: ribosomal RNA, 468 nt
Filed under: uncultured Sphingobacteriales bacterium
Lineage: Bacteria; Pseudomonadati; Bacteroidota; Sphingobacteriia; Sphingobacteriales
Description: bacterial SSU rRNA
Rfam family: Bacterial small subunit ribosomal RNA
Source: RNAcentral
UUGACGGGCCCCGCACAAGCAGCGGAGCGUGUGGUUUAAUUCGAUGAUACGCGAGGAACCUUACCUGGGCUUAAAUGGGGAGUGACAGCUGUCGAAAGAUGGUUUUCUUCGGACACUCUUCAAGGUGCUGCAUGGUUGUCGUCAGCUCGUGCCGUGAGGUGUCGGGUUAAGUCCCAUAACGAGCGCAACCCUUACCGUUAGUUACCAUCAGGUUAAGCUGGGGACUCUAGCGGGACUGCCACCGUAAGGUGAGAGGAAGUGGGGAUGACGUCAAAUCAGCGCGGCCCUUAUGUCCAGGGCUACACACGUGUUACAAUGGCCAGUACAAAGGGCAGCUACCGGGUGACCGGAUGCUAAUCUCUAAAGCUGGUCUCAGUUCGGAUCGAAGUCUGCAACCCGACUUCGUGAAGCUGGAUUCGCUAGUAAUCGCGCAUCAGCCAUGGCGCGGUGAAUACGUUCCCGGGCCUU